Molecule: RNA transcript, 1572 nt
Organism: Triticum dicoccoides
Lineage: Eukaryota; Viridiplantae; Streptophyta; Magnoliopsida; Poales; Poaceae
Gene name: cyclin-H1-1-like
Exons: 15
Source: RefSeq, a predicted model, not a curated record
ACCAGACCGGGAGGGGUUCUGCUCCCCAACCGGCGCCCCCGAAACCCCUUGACGGCCGGACCGCCGCUGCCGCUGCCGCCCGUCGCCGCGCCCCUCCUCGGCGUCCUCCGGAGGACGCCAUAGUACUGCGGCAUCCCCUCCACACCCGCUUCCAUCAAGCGGUGUUCACCAGCAGGGGGGAGGGGGGCUCGAUUCGGCUGCUGGGAGCGGAGGGAGGAGCGGCCAAGAUGUCGGAUUUCCAGACCUCCACGCACCGGGAGCGGUGGAUCUUCCAGCCGCAGGACCUGGUGAAUAAGUGGACUACGGCGAACCGGCGUUCAGCGGAGAUCCUCGCCCAGUAUGGGACGACGCGGUUGAAGGUGGACCCUGUUGAUGGCUCGAUAUCGAACCCAGAACCUGUGCCUGAUCAUGUUGUUGGGAGCUCGAGUGUGAAGCCUCUAUCCUGCGAAGAGGAGCAAGUGAUGCGGAUAUUUUACGAGCAAAAGAUUCAAGAAGUGUGCAGAGCAUUCAAAUUCCCCCACAAAAUUCAGGCUACAGCGAUAAUAUAUUUCAAGAGAUUCUAUCUACAGUGGUCUGUAAUGGAGCACCACCCAAAGCAUAUUAUGUUAACUUGUGUAUAUGCUUCUUGCAAAGUGGAAGAAAAUCAUGUGUCUGCUGAGGAACUUGGCAAAGGGAUUCAGCAGGAUCACCAGAUUAUUCUAAAUAAUGAGAUGAUUGUUCUGAAAUCUUUAGAUUUUGAUUUGAUCGUUUAUGCUCCAUAUCGUUCUAUCGAAGGAUUUAUUGAUGACAUGGAUGAUUUUUGUAGGGCAGGUAAUGGUGCACACCAACGGUUGAAGGAUUUGCAUCGAACUGCGAAUUCUGAGGUUGACACAAUGAUGUUGACUGAUGCACCUCUUCUCUAUACUCCUGGACAGUUGGCUUUGGCUGCUCUGUACAAGUCCAACGCUGCACUCAGUGUCCUUGAUUUUGAAAGAUACUUGGAAAGUGUUUUUUCAAGGCAACACUUUGAUUGUCCAGUCGAACAAUUUAUUCAGAUAAUCAGUUUAAUCAAUCACCUGGUUAGCCAGCUUCAACUACCUGGCACGAAAGAAAUGAGGCAUGCUGAUCGCAAGCUGAAGCAUUGUUUGGAUCCAAGCUCAAGCUCUCAUGAUGACCACAAGAAGAAAGAAAAGAAGUCAAAGCACAAAUCGAAAAGAACUGCCAGUGAUGCCCAGCUCAACAGCUAGAAAUCGUGCCGUUGGGCAGCUGUGCAGUGUAGGAACCAGCUCUGGAAAAUGUGGUGGCUUUCCGUUUGAUGAGGUUUCGAUUCCAAAUUUCUCCAGCCAUCAGAUUGGUGAUGCUCAGCUGAUCUCCUCAGCAGCCCAAGUCUUGGCCAAGGACAGGCAGUUUUCAGAUGAGGCGUCCUUUAGGCGAGUGCUGUGCUUUUUGUAACUCAAUAAUGAUUUUAUUAGAGCGGCUUAAAUCUUGGGCGCGAGGGGAGAGAAACUUGGAGAUGUAAACCAUUGGAUGCUAUUUUGUUGUAACUUGAUUUUAUUAGAGUAACAUAGGAUAACUCCAACAUUUCGUCUGCUU